Molecule: signal recognition particle RNA, 99 nt
Filed under: Nitrospiraceae bacterium
Lineage: Bacteria; Pseudomonadati; Nitrospirota; Nitrospiria; Nitrospirales; Nitrospiraceae
Also listed under: 1 other name
Description: signal recognition particle sRNA small type
Rfam family: Bacterial small signal recognition particle RNA
About the family: The signal recognition particle (SRP) is a universally conserved ribonucleoprotein involved in the co-translational targeting of proteins to membranes.
Source: RNAcentral
CGUUGGGCCCUGUGCAACAGGAUGCUGUAAAUCCCGCCAGGUCCGGAAGGAAGCAACGGUAAGCAGUUAUUGUGUGUGCCGCAGGAUCACCUGAUGGCC